GGGCCCGCACAAGCGGUGGAGCAUGUGGUUUAAUUCGAUGAUACGCGAGGAACCUUACCAGGGCUUAAAUGUAGUGGGACAGGUCUAGAGAUAGACCCUUCUUCGGACUCAUUACAAGGUGCUGCAUGGUUGUCGUCAGCUCGUGCCGUGAGGUGUCAGGUUAAGUCCUAUAACGAGCGCAACCCCUAUCGUUAGUUGCCAGCGGGUAAUGCCGGGAACUCUAACGAAACUGCCGGUGCAAACCGUGAGGAAGGUGGGGAUGACGUCAAAUCAUCACGGCCCUUACGUCCUGGGCCUACACACGUGCUACAAUGGCCGGUACAGAGAGCAGCCACUACGCGAGUAGGAG
RNAcentral lists this ribosomal RNA (349 nucleotides) under uncultured bacterium. Its description in RNAcentral is "bacterial SSU rRNA". It matches the Rfam family "Bacterial small subunit ribosomal RNA", at positions 917 to 1267 of the family's 1533-position model. The record is from RNAcentral.